GCAUUCAUGUGAUUCAUUUGGCAACAGCUAAGAAAACAAUGGGAUAAAAAUGAUGUUGAAUGCUCGUUUUGAUUAAACUGACUUUCUGACUAGUAAAUAUAGACGCGUGUACACGAAGAUUAAUAUAAUUCAUAGCCGUUGUGUGCAUAAGCGCACCUGUCACACCUGCUGGCGUCACGAAAUGAAUCUUUUUGAAAUAUUCGAGUGAGCGAAUCAAAAGCAAGACACGCGGGAAAUCAACCAUACAUGCUGCAUUGGGCUGCAAUCUCUCCUAAAUUAAACAAUAAUGAAUAACAUCCAAGGCUUAACCAAGUCUCUGGAAAUGAACUUACAGUGUUAUGGAGUAUUUCACACGGGACGAAACAGCAUCCAAUGAACAAUUGGUCAUGGAGUUAAUGGGAAAUAAAACUACUGAAUAUUGCAGAAGUGCAGGAUGUUUUACAUUCAAGCAAAGACCCGCUUGACCUUUGAGUGAUACAAUCAGAUGUACGUGAUGAGAGAAAAGCAACCCAAACCGAAGAGUUAUGAAUCAGCACACACGGUACCAAAAUACAGCCAAGAAUCAGAUGAUCUCUGGGUUGACGAGUCUGGAUUCAAACCAAUAUUC
RNAcentral lists this long non-coding RNA (607 nucleotides) under Danio rerio (zebrafish). Its description in RNAcentral is "lncRNA (ENSDARG00000117483.1)". Lineage: Eukaryota; Metazoa; Chordata; Actinopteri; Cypriniformes; Danionidae. The record is from RNAcentral.